RNAcentral lists this long non-coding RNA (1024 nucleotides) under Callithrix jacchus (white-tufted-ear marmoset). RNAcentral describes it as "lncRNA (ENSCJAG00000069999.1)". The record is from RNAcentral. Lineage: Eukaryota; Metazoa; Chordata; Mammalia; Primates; Cebidae.
ACACCAGCCAGUCAUCACACCAGCCAGGGUCAUCACAACAGCCAGGGUCAUCACAACAGCCAGGGUCAUCACUCCAACCAGGGUCAUCACACCAGCCAAACAGCCACCACACCAGCCAGGGUCAUCACAACAGCCAGGGUCAUCAAACCAGCCAGGGUCAUCACAACAGCCAGGGUCAUCACAACAGCCAGGGUCAUCACACCAGCCAGGGUCAUCACAUCAGCCAGGGUCAUCACACCAGCCAGGGUCAUCACAUCAGCCAGGGUCAUCACAACAGCCAAACAGCCACCACACCAGCCAGGGUCAUCACAACAGCCAGGGUCAUCACACCAGCUAAACAGCCAUCACACCAGCCAGGGUCAUCACAAGAGCCAGGGUAAUCACACCAGCUAAACAGCCAUCACACCAGCCAGGGUCAUCACAACAGCCAGGGUCAUCACAAGAGCCAGGGUCAUCACACCAGCUAAACAGCCAUCACACCAGCCAGGGGCAUCACAACAGCCAGGGUCAUCACUCCAGCCAGGGUCAUCACAAUAGCCAGGGUCAUCACUCCAGCAGGGUCAUCACAACAGCCAGGGUCAUCACAAGAGCCAGGGUAAUCACACCAGCUAAACAGCCAUCACACCAGCCAGGGUCAUCACACCAGCCAAACAGCCAUCACACCAGCCAGGGUCAUCACAACAGUCAGGAUCAUCACACUAGCCAGGGUCAUCACAGCAGCCAGAGUCAUCAAACAGGCCAGAAUCAUCACACCUGCCAGAAUAAUAACACUAGCCAGGGUCAUCACACCCUCCACAGUCAUCACAACUUCCAGAGUUACACACUAGCUAGAGUCAUCACACCAGCCAGAGGGCAGCAGGAGGGGGUCAGGGAAGGGAAGAUGAUUCAUCGGGCACAGGCCAAAAGGAGUGAAAAUAAAAAUAAGGAAGAGCUGGAGGGAUGUGAAGAUGGUAUAUUAUUUUUAUUGAGACAGUGUCUCGCAAUAUUGCCCAGGCUGGAGUGCAGUGGCUAUUCACAGGCCUGA